Molecule: small nucleolar RNA, 122 nt
Filed under: Echinops telfairi (small Madagascar hedgehog)
Lineage: Eukaryota; Metazoa; Chordata; Mammalia; Afrosoricida; Tenrecidae
Description: Small nucleolar RNA SNORA61 (ENSETEG00000025265.1)
Source: RNAcentral
CUCCUCCAGAGUCCUGACCCCUCCGAUCUACAUAUUGGUCUGAGUGGCUGAGGAAAGGAGGAAAAGUAACACUGGAGUGGGCUUGGAGUCUUGACUGACAUACAAGUUCAUUUCCAAACACU